UUCGGUGACUAUGGCGGAGAGGAUCCACCCGUUCCCAUCCCGAACACGGAAGUUAAGCUCUCCAGCGCCGAUGGUACUGCAUGGGUGACUGUGUGGGAGAGUAGGACGUCGCCGAAA
Molecule: ribosomal RNA, 117 nt
Filed under: Syntrophobacterales bacterium
Lineage: Bacteria; Pseudomonadati; Thermodesulfobacteriota; Syntrophobacteria; Syntrophobacterales
Also listed under: 1 other name
Source: RNAcentral